Molecule: ribosomal RNA, 1217 nt
Filed under: uncultured Alphaproteobacteria bacterium
Lineage: Bacteria; Pseudomonadati; Pseudomonadota; Alphaproteobacteria
Description: partial 16S ribosomal RNA
Rfam family: Bacterial small subunit ribosomal RNA
Source: RNAcentral
AUGCAAGUCGAACGGUAACGACACUAGCUUGCUAGUGGGCGACGAGUGGCGGACGGGUGAGUAACGCGUAGGAAUCUACCUAGUAGUGGGGGAUAGCCAAGGGAAACUUUGGGUAAUACCGCAUACGAUCUAAGGAUGAAAGGGGGCCUCUCUUUGAAGCUCUCGCUAUUAGAUGAGCCUGCGUAAGAUUAGCUUGUUGGUGGGGUAAUGGCUCACCAAGGCAACGAUCUUUAGCUGGUCUGAGAGGAUGAUCAGUCACACUGGAACUGAGACACGGUCCAGACUCCUACGGGAGGCAGCAGUCGGGAAUAUUGGACAAUGGGGGCAACCCUGAUCCAGCCAUGCCGCGUGAGUGAUGAAGGCCCUGGGGUUGUAAAGCUCUUUCACCGGUGAAGAUAAUGACGGUAACCGGAGAAGAAGCCCCGGCUAACUUCGUGCCAGCAGCCGCGGUAAUACGAAGGGGGCUAGCGUUGUUCGGAAUUACUGGGCGUAAAGCGCGCGUAGGCGGAUCGGUCAGUUAGGGGUGAAAUCCCGGGGCUCAACCCCGGAACUGCCUCUAAUACUGCCGAUCUAGAGUUCGAGAGAGGUGAGUGGAAUUCCGAGUGUAGAGGUGAAAUUCGUAGAUAUUCGGAGGAACACCAGUGGCGAAGGCGGCUCACUGGCUCGAUACUGACGCUGAGGUGCGAAAGCGUGGGGAGCAAACAGGAUUAGAUACUCUGGUAGUCCACGCUGUAAACGAUGGAAGCUAGCUGUUGGCAGGUUUACCUGUCGGUGGCGCAGUUAACGCAUUAAGCUUUCUCGCCUGGGGAGUACGGUCGCAAGAUUAAAACUCAAAGGAAUUGACGGGGGCUCGCACAAGCGGUGAGCAUGUGUUUAAUUCGAAGCAACGCGCAGAACCUUACCAGCCCUUGACAUCUGGGUCGCGAUUUCCAGAGAUGGAUUCUUUCAGUUAGCUGACCCAAGACAGGUGCUGCAUGCUGUCGUCAGCUCGUGUCGUGAGAUGUUGGUUAAGUUCCCGCACGAGCGCAACCCUCGCCCUUAGUGCAGCUCAGUGGCACUCUACGGGACUGCUGUGAUAAGUCGGACAGAAGGUAGGAUGACGUCAGGUCCUCAUGGUCCGUACGCUGGCUACCUACGUGCUUACAAUGGCGGGUAACGGGGGCAACGGAGCGGACGUCAACUUAUUCCCAAAGCAUCCUAGAUUCCGAAAUAGGGGG